This 380-nucleotide ribosomal RNA is filed under the name Enterobacter sp. 1R. Its description in RNAcentral is "bacterial SSU rRNA". It matches the Rfam family "Bacterial small subunit ribosomal RNA", at positions 972 to 1350 of the family's 1533-position model. The record is from RNAcentral. Lineage: Bacteria; Pseudomonadati; Pseudomonadota; Gammaproteobacteria; Enterobacterales; Enterobacteriaceae.
UACCUACUCUUGACAUCCAGAGGAACUUAGCCAGAGAUGCUUUGGUGCCUUCGGGAACUCUGAGACAGGUGCUGCAUGGCUGUCGUCAGCUCGUGUUGUGAAAUGUUGGGUUAAGUCCCGCAACGAGCGCAACCCUUAUCCUUUGUUGCCAGCGGUCCGGCCGGGAACUCAAAGGAGACUGCCAGUGAUAAACUGGAGGAAGGUGGGGAUGACGUCAAGUCAUCAUGGCCCUUACGAGUAGGGCUACACACGUGCUACAAUGGCGCAUACAAAGAGAAGCGACCUCGCGAGAGCAAGCGGACCUCAUAAAGUGCGUCGUAGUCCGGAUUGGAGUCUGCAACUCGACUCCAUGAAGUCGGAAUCGCUAGUAAUCGUAGAUC